GUUGGAUACUUGAGAGGAUUUGUCCCUAGUACGAGAGGACCGGGAUGAACACACCUCUGGUGGACCUGUUGUGGCGCCAGCCGCAUUGCAGGGUAGCUAAGUUCGGACGGGAUAACUGCUGAAAGCAUCUAAGCAGGAAGCCUCCCUCAAAACGAGUAUUCCCUAUCAGAGCCGUGGAAGACCACCACGUUGAUAGGCCGGGUGUGGAAGCGC
This 213-nucleotide ribosomal RNA is filed under the name uncultured Vexilliferidae. RNAcentral describes it as "partial Bacterial large subunit ribosomal RNA". It matches the Rfam family "Bacterial large subunit ribosomal RNA", at positions 2653 to 2876 of the family's 2925-position model. Lineage: Eukaryota; Discosea; Flabellinia; Dactylopodida; Vexilliferidae. The record is from RNAcentral.